AUUGAACGCUGGCGGCAUGCCUUACACAUGCAAGUCGAACGGUAACGCGGGGCAACCUGGCGACGAGUGGCGAACGGGUGAGUAAUGCAUCGGAACGUGCCCAGUAGUGGGGGAUAGCCCGGCGAAAGCCGGAUUAAUACCGCAUACGACCUACGGGUGAAAGCGGGGGAUCGCAAGACCUCGCGCUAUUGGAGCGGCCGAUGUCAGAUUAGGUAGUUGGUGAGGUAAAGGCUCAACAAGCCUUCGAUCUGUAGCUGGUCUGAGAGGACGACCAGCCACACUGGGACUGAGACACGGCCCAGACUCCUACGGGAGGCAGCAGUGGGGAAUUUUGGACAAUGGGCGCAAGCCUGAUCCAGCCAUGCCGCGUGCGGGAAGAAGGCCUUCGGGUUGUAAACCGCUUUUGUCAGGAAGAAAGCCCCGGGCUAAUACCUUGGGGUAAUGACGGUACCUGAAGAAUAAGCACCGGCUAACUACGUGCCAGCAGCCGCGGUAAU
This 497-nucleotide ribosomal RNA is filed under the name uncultured bacterium. Its description in RNAcentral is "bacterial SSU rRNA". It matches the Rfam family "Bacterial small subunit ribosomal RNA", at positions 29 to 524 of the family's 1533-position model. The record is from RNAcentral.